Molecule: ribosomal RNA, 2275 nt
Filed under: Escherichia coli
Lineage: Bacteria; Pseudomonadati; Pseudomonadota; Gammaproteobacteria; Enterobacterales; Enterobacteriaceae
Description: partial 23S ribosomal RNA
Rfam family: Bacterial large subunit ribosomal RNA
Source: RNAcentral
UGCACAUACUGUGAGCUCGAUGAGUAGGGCGGGACACGUGGUAUCCUGUCUGAAUAUGGGGGGACCAUCCUCCAAGGCUAAAUACUCCUGACUGACCGAUAGUGAACCAGUACCGUGAGGGAAAGGCGAAAAGAACCCCGGCGAGGGGAGUGAAAAAGAACCUGAAACCGUGUACGUACAAGCAGUGGGAGCACGCUUCGGCGUGUGACUGCGUACCUUUUGUAUAAUGGGUCAGCGACUUAUAUUCUGUAGCAAGGUUAACCGAAUAGGGGAGCCGAAGGGAAACCGAGUCUUAACUGGGCGUUAAGUUGCAGGGUAUAGACCCGAAACCCGGUGAUCUAGCCAUGGGCAGGUUGAAGGUUGGGUAACACUAACUGGAGGACCGAACCGACUAAUGUUGAAAAAUUAGCGGAUGACUUGUGGCUGGGGGUGAAAGGCCAAUCAAACCGGGAGAUAGCUGGUUCUCCCCGAAAGCUAUUUAGGUAGCGCCUCGUGAAUUCAUCUCCGGGGGUAGAGCACUGUUUCGGCAAGGGGGUCAUCCCGACUUACCAACCCGAUGCAAACUGCGAAUACCGGAGAAUGUUAUCACGGGAGACACACGGCGGGUGCUAACGUCCGUCGUGAAGAGGGAAACAACCCAGACCGCCAGCUAAGGUCCCAAAGUCAUGGUUAAGUGGGAAACGAUGUGGGAAGGCCCAGACAGCCAGGAUGUUGGCUUAGAAGCAGCCAUCAUUUAAAGAAAGCGUAAUAGCUCACUGGUCGAGUCGGCCUGCGCGGAAGAUGUAACGGGGCUAAACCAUGCACCGAAGCUGCGGCAGCGACACUAUGUGUUGUUGGGUAGGGGAGCGUUCUGUAAGCCUGUGAAGGUGUACUGUGAGGUAUGCUGGAGGUAUCAGAAGUGCGAAUGCUGACAUAAGUAACGAUAAAGCGGGUGAAAAGCCCGCUCGCCGGAAGACCAAGGGUUCCUGUCCAACGUUAAUCGGGGCAGGGUGAGUCGACCCCUAAGGCGAGGCCGAAAGGCGUAGUCGAUGGGAAACAGGUUAAUAUUCCUGUACUUGGUGUUACUGCGAAGGGGGGACGGAGAAGGCUAUGUUGGCCGGGCGACGGUUGUCCCGGUUUAAGCGUGUAGGCUGGUUUUCCAGGCAAAUCCGGAAAAUCAAGGCUGAGGCGUGAUGACGAGGCACUACGGUGCUGAAGCAACAAAUGCCCUGCUUCCAGGAAAAGCCUCUAAGCAUCAGGUAACAUCAAAUCGUACCCCAAACCGACACAGGUGGUCAGGUAGAGAAUACCAAGGCGCUUGAGAGAACUCGGGUGAAGGAACUAGGCAAAAUGGUGCCGUAACUUCGGGAGAAGGCACGCUGAUAUGUAGGUGAAGCGACUUGCUCGUGGAGCUGAAAUCAGUCGAAGAUACCAGCUGGCUGCAACUGUUUAUUAAAAACACAGCACUGUGCAAACACGAAAGUGGACGUAUACGGUGUGACGCCUGCCCGGUGCCGGAAGGUUAAUUGAUGGGGUUAGCGGUAACGCGAAGCUCUUGAUCGAAGCCCCGGUAAACGGCGGCCGUAACUAUAACGGUCCUAAGGUAGCGAAAUUCCUUGUCGGGUAAGUUCCGACCUGCACGAAUGGCGUAAUGAUGGCCAGGCUGUCUCCACCCGAGACUCAGUGAAAUUGAACUCGCUGUGAAGAUGCAGUGUACCCGCGGCAAGACGGAAAGACCCCGUGAACCUUUACUAUAGCUUGACACUGAACAUUGAGCCUUGAUGUGUAGGAUAGGUGGGAGGCUUUGAAGUGUGGACGCCAGUCUGCAUGGAGCCGACCUUGAAAUACCACCCUUUAAUGUUUGAUGUUCUAACGUUGGCCCGUUAUCCGGGUUGCGGACAGUGUCUGGUGGGUAGUUUGACUGGGGCGGUCUCCUCCUAAAGAGUAACGGAGGAGCACGAAGGUUGGCUAAUCCUGGUCGGACAUCAGGAGGUUAGUGCAAUGGCAUAAGCCAGCUUGACUGCGAGCGUGACGGCGCGAGCAGGUGCGAAAGCAGGUCAUAGUGAUCCGGUGGUUCUGAAUGGAAGGGCCAUCGCUCAACGGAUAAAAGGUACUCCGGGGAUAACAGGCUGAUACCGCCCAAGAGUUCAUAUCGACGGCGGUGUUUGGCACCUCGAUGUCGGCUCAUCACAUCCUGGGGCUGAAGUAGGUCCCAAGGGUAUGGCUGUUCGCCAUUUAAAGUGGUACGCGAGCUGGGUUUAGAACGUCGUGAGACAGUUCGGUCCCUAUCUGCCGU